GUAAGUGAAAGGCGAAAAAUCGGACUUAAAAUCCCGUUUCCGAAAGGAAGUGUCGGUUCGAAUCCGACCCGAGGCACCA
Molecule: transfer RNA, 79 nt
Filed under: Desulfocapsaceae bacterium
Lineage: Bacteria; Pseudomonadati; Thermodesulfobacteriota; Desulfobulbia; Desulfobulbales; Desulfocapsaceae
Description: tRNA-Leu
Source: RNAcentral